AGGACAAUCCGCAUCUACCUCUGC
This 24-nucleotide non-coding RNA is filed under the name Arabidopsis thaliana (thale cress). Lineage: Eukaryota; Viridiplantae; Streptophyta; Magnoliopsida; Brassicales; Brassicaceae. The record is from RNAcentral.